This 82-nucleotide transfer RNA is filed under the name Ceratobasidium sp. 428. RNAcentral describes it as "tRNA-Arg". It matches the Rfam family "tRNA". Rfam says of the family: Transfer RNA (tRNA) molecules are approximately 80 nucleotides in length. Their secondary structure includes four short double-helical elements and three loops (D, anti-codon, and T loops). Further hydrogen bonds mediate the characteristic L-shaped molecular structure. tRNAs have two regions of fundamental functional importance: the anti-codon, which is responsible for specific mRNA codon recognition, and the 3' end, to which the tRNAs corresponding amino acid is attached (by aminoacyl-tRNA synthetases). tRNAs cope with the degeneracy of the genetic code in two manners: having more than one tRNA (with a specific anti-codon) for a particular amino acid; and 'wobble' base-pairing, i.e. permitting non-standard base-pairing at the 3rd anti-codon position. Lineage: Eukaryota; Fungi; Basidiomycota; Agaricomycetes; Cantharellales; Ceratobasidiaceae. The record is from RNAcentral.
GGCCGCCUGGCGAAAUGGUAUCGCGUCUGACUACGAUUGGGUAUAUAUCAGGAGAUUGCAGGUUCGAGCCCUGCGGUGGUCA